This 492-nucleotide ribosomal RNA is filed under the name uncultured bacterium. RNAcentral describes it as "partial 16S ribosomal RNA". It matches the Rfam family "Bacterial small subunit ribosomal RNA", at positions 29 to 507 of the family's 1533-position model. The record is from RNAcentral.
AGUGAACGCUGGCGGUAGGCCUAAUACAUGCAAGUCGAGCGACCGCACAGUAAGCGCUCUCUUCUAAGGGUGGCGAGUGACGGACGGGUGAGACAUACAUAGGAUUCCACUUUUACUUGGGGGAUAACGGGGGGAAACAUCUGCUACUACCGAAUAUAAUCUACGGGAUAAAUCAGGAGUGAUUGGGACCUUUGCUGUCUCAAAUAGAUGGAGCCGGAUCAGCUAGUUGACGAGGUAAGGGCACACCAAGGCGACGAUCCGUAGCUGGUCUGAGAGGAUGAUCAGCCACACUGGAACUGAGACACGGUCCAGACUCCUACGGGAGGCAGCAGUGGGGAAUAUUGGACAAUGGGCGCAAGCCUGACGCAGCAAUACCGCGUGAGUGAAGAAGGCCUUCGGGUUGUAAAGCCCUUUUAUUGGGAAAGAAAAAAAGCGUAUGAAUAUCUCGCUGUUCUGACGGUACCCAAAGAGAAAGCACCGGCUAACUUCGUG